GACGAACGCUGGCGGCGUGCUUAACACAUGCAAGUCGAACGAUGAACCUGGAGCUUGCUCCGGGGGAUUAGUGGCGAACGGGUGAGUAACACGUGAGUAACCUGCCCUUGACUCUGGGAUAACCUCCGGAAACGGAAGCUAAUACCGGAUAUGACGUACGGAGGCAUCUCCUGUACGUGGAAAGAACUUCGGUCAAGGAUGGACUCGCGGCCUAUCAGGUAGUUGGUGAGGUAACGGCNCACCAAGCCUACGACGGGUAGCCGGCCUGAGAGGGUGACCGGCCACACUGGGACUGAGACACGGCCCAGACUCCUACGGGAGGCAGCAGUGGGGAAUAUUGCACAAUGGGCGCAAGCCUGAUGCAGC
This 366-nucleotide ribosomal RNA is filed under the name uncultured bacterium. RNAcentral's name for it is "bacterial SSU rRNA". It matches the Rfam family "Bacterial small subunit ribosomal RNA", at positions 28 to 392 of the family's 1533-position model. The record is from RNAcentral.